Molecule: ribosomal RNA, 497 nt
Filed under: uncultured bacterium
Lineage: Bacteria
Description: partial 16S ribosomal RNA
Rfam family: Bacterial small subunit ribosomal RNA
Source: RNAcentral
GAUGAACGCUGGCGGCGUGCCUAAUACAUGCAAGUCGAGCGAACAGAUGAGGAGCUUGCUCCUCUGACGUUAGCGGCGGACGGGUGAGUAACACGUGGAUAACCUACCUAUAAGACUGGGAUAACUUCGGGAAACCGGAGCUAAUACCGGAUAAUAUAUUGAACCGCAUGGUUCAAUAGUGAAAGACGGUUUUGCUGUCACUUAUAGAUGGAUCCGCGCCGCAUUAGCUAGUUGGUAAGGUAACGGCUUACCAAGGCAACGAUGCGUAGCCGACCUGAGAGGGUGAUCGGCCACACUGGAACUGAGACACGGUCCAGACUCCUACGGGAGGCAGCAGUAGGGAAUCUGCCGCAAUGGGCGAAAGCCUGACGGAGCAACGCCGCGUGUGUGAUGAAGGUCUUCGGAUCGUAAAACUCUGUUAUUAGGGAAGAACAAAUGUGUAAGUAACUAUGCACGUCUUGACGGUACCUAAUCAGAAAGCCACGGCUAACUACGUG